RNAcentral lists this ribosomal RNA (292 nucleotides) under uncultured bacterium. RNAcentral's name for it is "partial 16S ribosomal RNA". It matches the Rfam family "Bacterial small subunit ribosomal RNA", at positions 505 to 796 of the family's 1533-position model. The record is from RNAcentral.
GUGUCAGCAGCCGCGGUAAUACGUAGGCAGCAAGCGUUGUUCGGAGUUACUGGGCGUAAAGGGUGUGUAGGCGGUUCCUUAAGUUUGCUGUGAAAUCUCCCGGCUUAACCGGGAGGGUGCGGUGAAUACUGAGGGACUAGAGUACGGGAGAGGAAAGUGGAAUUCCUGGUGUAGCGGUGAAAUGCGUAGAUAUCAGGAGGAACACCGGUGGUGUAGACGGCUUUCUGGACCGUAACUGACGCUGAGACACGAAAGCGUGGGUAGCAAACAGGAUUAGAUACCCUGGUAGUCC